This 296-nucleotide unclassified non-coding RNA is filed under the name Hevea brasiliensis (rubber tree). Lineage: Eukaryota; Viridiplantae; Streptophyta; Magnoliopsida; Malpighiales; Euphorbiaceae. The record is from RNAcentral.
AUUUUGCAAAGUGUGCCCAUUGGAAAGAUCAAAAAAUGAGGACAUUAUAGAAGCUUGUAAAGGUCAUCUGGUGAGGAACUUCAUAAAAGAGUGUUGGUGGAAAUGUGGCUGUAGUAAACAAUGUGGCAACCGUGUAGUACAGCGAGGAAUAAGCCAUAAGUUACAGGUCUUUAUGACUCCGGAAGGGAAAGGAUGGGGCUUGCGAACCCUUGAAGACCUUCCCCGAGGUGCUUUUGUCUGUGAAUAUGUUGGAGAGGUUCUGACCAACACAGAACUCUUUGAUCGUGUUGCACGGA